GCGUUUCCCAUGGACGUUGCUGCGUUCCAUUGUACCUCGGAACUCGGAUCUCCAACCACGGAAGUCGGGGUGGUGAUUUUUUCCCCGACCUCCCGAGGUGGAAUUCCGACUUGCAGGGGCGUUCCAGUUGCAAUGUCCGACUCGGAGGUCAUAAUUCCGAGUUCCGAGACGUUACUGGAACGAUAAACCCAACCUCCGAGUUCCGAGUGCCGAGUUCCGAGUUACAAUGGAAGGCAGCAUUAAAUAGUACAUCCGGGUGUUUCCUCAACUGCGCUUCAGGCUUCACAGCGGUGCUCCAUCGGUUCAGUGCGCAUGCGUGAGAGUUUGAAACCCAAACGCGCGAAGACCUCAGCGAAUGUGUUCAAUGCUGCUGGUGUGUGUAAGUCGGAGCAUAGCAUCAUUUCACCAGGAAUAUUAUCUGUUGCUUUUCGCAUCUAUUCCGGCUAUUCAAGAUUUAUUUUUCAUCCAGAAACAGUGUGACAAACAAGGUGAGAAAUCUCUCUCUAUAUAUUCUGUCCAUUAAUGCAAUAUACGAUGAAAGUACCUUUCUAUUUUAAAUGAACAGACUGUCAUGCCAUGAGCGUAAUGGUAAAAUGUGUUCGAGCGGCUGGUGUGUGUAAAUCAGAGCAUAGCCAUAUCACCAUUAAUAUCAUCUGCUGCUUUUCGCAUCUAAUCCUGCAAUUGAGGAUUUAUUUUCAUCGGAAACGGAUGUGACUAACAAGGUGAGACACCUCUCUCUCUCUCUCUCUCUCUCUCUCUCUCUCUCUCUCUGUGUGUGUAACUGUUAUGCCACUUCUAUAAUGUUGUAUAUCCACUGGGAAAAGAUCAGUAGCUACCAUGAGUUCGAACUGUUUUACAGUUAGCAAGUUAAACCCUGUCCCUUUGAGACCAUUAAGGUAAAGGUUGACUUGGGAAAUUGUCAAAUCUUGCUCAAAUAUCUCUCAACCACUUCAUUACUUCCUCUAUUUUUUAUAAAUAAUUAUUAAUCAGUUAUUGAUCCAGUGAUUUUGUGCCAACCAUUUCAAAGUUUUUUUUAACUUUUGUAGGUAAUGUUUAUUCAGGUGUGAACAAUGUAAUGUAUAUGUUCUGUCCAAAUGUGAUUUGUGGGUUGUCACUAAUCCAAGGUAAAGUCUGUUUAAUUUAUUGAGCCCAGUAUCUCAAGUCUUUGUCAAGGGUUUUCACAACCUGGACAGAGUUUGACACUCAGCGUUUUCCAGUUUUCCUUUCCCAUCCAGACCGAGGACAGGAAAGAAAAGACUCCGCUAAUUAACUCUUUUAAAGGGAAAAUUAUUUUUUGUUAAAAGGGUAGCGCAGAGCAGAGGUCCCUCUUCACAAAUGGAUGGACAAAAAAAUAGGAAGAUGAAAAUAAGCAUAUAAACAACAAUUUAUUAUCAAUGGGUAAAUAUUUUAUUUUACUAGCAGAUUUCGUGUUGUAUAUGAAUUGAAACAGGUGAUCUGCCAGGGUGCAUUACUCAGUUGCCUCUUUCCCCUAACAAACACAAACAAAGAUAAGGUUUUGAUCAGGUUAAUUUCAAACACAUUUGCAAGUUUCCCACAUAAUUAAGGUAAAAUUUGUAUUUGAUAAAUUUAAAGAAUUGUGUAUUUACCUUGCCAGAGUCACGGCUCUUGGCUCUCAGCUUAUUGACCUGGGACUCUGCGAUGUCAGCACGCUCCUCAGCCUCCUCCAGCUCAUGUUGGACCUUCCUGCACUUCGACAGGUGAACAUUGGCCUGCUCCUCCUAGAAUACAUUUCAUAGUAAAAUGUUUAAUUGUUCAGACCAGGAGAUGUAUUUUACAUGAAAUAUGACAUAGUAUCAAGUUUUAUAUUGUUUAAAAAAAAUAAACAUGUUGCCCUUACCGCUUCCUCAGCCUGCCUCUUGUAGGCCUUCACCUUGAGCUGCAACUUGUCAACCAGGUCCUGCAGCCUGGUAACGUUUUUCUUGUCCUCCUCAGUCUGUUGUAGAAAAUACAUACAUUUUCAUAUUUUGAUUAAAGUAAAGUAUUAGAAUUAAUUUGUACUAUAUGAUUUGAAUAUGAGAAUAUACCUGAUAGGUGAGUUCUUUCACUCUCCUCUCGUAUUUGCGGACACCCUUAACAGCAUCUGCUCCACGUCUCUGCUCAGCCUCAACUUCUGUCUCCAGCUCACGCACCUUGAGAAAACCACAAAAUGUAUUUAGUGAUUAGGAUACAGGUGAUUUUUAUGUUUCCUUACCUUUGUUCAUCUGUGUAAAUUUGUGACCUGACUGUCUUACCCUAGACUCCAGUUUCUGGAGCUGCUUCUUGCCGCCCUUCAUAGCCAGGUUCUCAGCCUCAUCCAGACGGUGCUGCAGGUCCUUAACAGCGACCUCCAGGUUCUUCUUCAUCCUCUCCAGGUGAGCGCUCGUAUCCUGCUCCUUCUUCAGCUCUUCUGCCAUCAUUGCGGCCUACCAAGCAUAAAGUUUAAAUUAGAAGUGUCAUGAAAAAAGCACAUUUUAGCAGGAGUGCAAUAGUGAUAGGAAAUGUAAGCCUACAUCAGUGAUGGCCUUCUUAGCCUUGUCCUCUGCAUUCCUUGCUUCCUGAACAGUGUCAUCAACUUCACUCUGGAUCUGGACCAGGUCAGUCUCAAGCUUCUUCUUGGUGUUCAGAAGGCUUGUGUUCUAAAAGAGGAAAACAUUGAGUCAUUAAUGUCACCAAAUGCUUGAUUUCUAUGUUAUUUUAAAACUCAUUUUAUUUAUUAAUUAUAGGAAAUAAUAAUUGUAUUGUUCACCUGAGAGUGCAGAAGUCCAACACGCUCACUGGCAUCCACUAGUUCCUGUUCAGCGAUUUUGCGACCUCUCUCUGUCUGUUCCAGAGCAGCUCUAAGUUCAUCAAUUUCAGCCACCAUGAGACCGUUCCUGCGAUCCACCAUAGCAGCUUGUUCCUUGAGGUCAUCCUGGGCUCUGACAGCAUCGUCAAGGUGCAGUUGAGCAUCCUAGGGAAAAGAAUAUCAAGACAAUAUUCACAUGAACACCAUAAUAAAGGUUCACCCACUACUCUGUAGUAUUUACAACGUUUCUAUGUUUAACAAUACCUUCAGCUGUGCCUGCACAUUCCUCAGCUGCUUCUGGGACUCAGCAGCCUGGCGAUUGGCAUGGCUGAGCUGAAUCUCCAUCUCAUUCAGGUCUCCCUCCAUCUUCUUCUUGAUUCUCAGGGCGUCGUUCCUGCUCCUGACCUCAGAAUCCAGAGUGCUCUGCAUGGAGUCAAUCACCCUCUGACUGUUUCUCUUGAUCUGCUCCAUCUCCUCAUCUUUUUCUGCCAGCUUCCUGUCCACCUCACCCUUGAUCUGGUUGAGUUCCAGCUGGACACGCAGGAUCUUGGACUCUUCAUGUUCCAGAGUUCCCUGAAUAUAUCAAUAUGUAAAAAAAAUAAUCUUCGCCUUCAGACUUUUCAUACCAAUUUACAGUAUUUUUCCACAAUUUGUAUUUUAUUUAUUCUUUGGAAAAUAUGUUAAAAUGAACCUCUGCUUCCUCAAGAGCUGUCUGGAUCUCAGCUUUCUCUGUCUCCACCUGCUUCUUGGUCUUUUCCAGCUCAUGGAUGCUUUUGCCAGUCUCACCAAUCUGUUCAGUCAGAUCAGAGAUCUCCUCUGCAGAGAAACACAUGUGUUGAAUAUAAUCAAGCCUUAAAAUAUAAAAUAUGAAUACUUUAUUUUAACACAUACAGACAUAUGUUGAAUACAAUCUAAUUGAAUUAUAAUUGCUGACAAAUUCGGGUAGGAACUCACGUUGCAAGUUCUUGUUUUCACGCUUCAUGGUCUCCAGCUGAUCCAGAGAUUCCUCAUAAGAGUUCUUCAUCUUGAACAGCUCAGUGCCAAGAGAACGAGCCUCCUUCUGAGCUCCUUCAAGUUCUGACUGACCCUCCUCGUGCUUUUGUUUCCACUCUGCCAAAACCUGAAUGACACAAUUUAUACUGUUCAGUUUGAUAUGUAGAAAUAAAAAAGUCCCCAAAAAAUUAAAUGAAUUUUA
Long non-coding RNA from Scophthalmus maximus (turbot), 3980 nucleotides. RefSeq lists it as uncharacterized. The transcript has 2 exons. NCBI's taxonomy places the organism in Eukaryota, Metazoa, Chordata, Actinopteri, Pleuronectiformes, Scophthalmidae. The record is from RefSeq and is a predicted model, not a curated record.